GUGGACGCCAGUCUGCGUGGAGCCGACCUUGAAAUACCACCCUUUAAUGUUUGAUGUUCUAACGUGGACCCGUAAUCCGGGUUGCGGACAGUGUCUGGUGGGUAGUUUGACUGGGGCGGUCUCCUCCUAAAGAGUAACGGAGGAGCACGAAGGUUGGCUAAUCCUGGUCGGACAUCAGGAGGUUAGUGCAAUGGCAUAAGCCAGCUUGACUGCGAGCGUGACGGCGCGAGCAGGUGCGAAAGCAGGUCAUAGUGAUCCGGUGGUUCUGAAUGGAAGGGCCAUCGCUCAACGGAUAAAAGGUACUCCGGGGAUAACAGGCUGAUACCGCCCAAGAGUUCAUAUCGACGGCGGUGUUUGGCACCUCGAUGUCGGCUCAUCACAUCCUGGGGCUGAAGUAGGUCCCAAGGGUAUGGCUGUUCGCCAUUUAAAGUGGUACGCGAGCUGGGUUUAGAACGUCGUGAGACAGUUCGGUCCCUAUCUGCCGUGGGCGCUGGAAGACUGAGGGGGGCUGCUCCUAGUACGAGAGGACCGGAGUGGACGCA
Molecule: ribosomal RNA, 542 nt
Filed under: Salmonella enterica
Lineage: Bacteria; Pseudomonadati; Pseudomonadota; Gammaproteobacteria; Enterobacterales; Enterobacteriaceae
Description: partial 23S ribosomal RNA
Rfam family: Bacterial large subunit ribosomal RNA
Source: RNAcentral